Molecule: non-coding RNA, 989 nt
Organism: Arvicanthis niloticus (Nile rat)
Lineage: Eukaryota; Metazoa; Chordata; Mammalia; Rodentia; Muridae
Source: RefSeq, a predicted model, not a curated record
GACUCUACCAGGAUAUUUCCAUGAUGAAAAGCUAGUUUGAGAAGUUUUCAGAGAAACUUGUGAACCAGCCUAGCCUACCUGAGGUUCUCAAAGACAUCCUCAGCAGCAUGGAACACUCAGCCUCCCUUCUGCUUUGAGCUUACCCAAGGCAUACUGUUCAAGUCAGGUGAUGGAACACAGUCUGAACUUACCAGCAGAGCAGGGUUAACAAGUACCAAGGAGAUUUCAAAGACAAACUGCUGGUAGGGCCUGCCAGGAGCUAAGAUUCAUAAUGAAACUACAAAUUCUGGAGACCCAUUUUUUACUGUCCGCCAUGGCAAGUAUCUAAAAUUAAAUGCUAAGCAGAAAUCCGUCCUGGAGUCUGACACACAGCAGUUAAGAAGGAGAAAAUUAAAGCACCAGGCUGCUUCUGAAGGUGUAGAAGCUGAUGAAAGGUACCAACAGGAGAAAAGUAAACAUGGAAAAAUUAUCAUAAUAAGCGUGAGCCUGUGAACAUAAACUGAUGCAAGCCAGAAACUUCAGCUCAGUGGCACUGUGCAGAAGCCUGUUAUAUUGGAUUCAUGAACUUUGUGGAAGAAGGGCUGGCUGAAACCAUCUCCAUAUGUAGGAGUAAAGAGUAUGCAAGAAGAGCUAGCCUGGUGAUUGAACACAUGAAGAUUCUUUGAAAUUGAAGAACAUGGUAUUAGAGAGUUUGCAUUUGUUUUAAAGUAUUGAUACCUCUCUUCUGAGAAACAAGCAAAGCUUAUAGACUUUAUAUAGACUCAGAGAAGAGCUAAAAGCCAGAGGAUGUCAGAACACAUGUAGCAUUUCUUCUUAAUUGUAUUAAGACAGCAUGGUCAACCAUGUGCAAAGGCACACAGUUUUCUUAAGAGACAGGGAGAAAAUCCCAAAGAGGACAAGGAUCUUCCUUGUAAUAUCUAACUACGGCUGGCAGUGUAGUAUGUUCUAGAAUGGCUACUGGUCUUCAAAUACCCUGGGCUGAUUACAAC